AUAAACGUUUGCGGCGUGCCUGAUGCAUGCAAGUCGAACGCCCUGAUUUUUCGCAAGAUUGAUCAGGGAGUGGCGAACGGCUGAGUAACACGUAAGUGACCUGUCCUUAAGUGGGGGAUAACUUGCCGAAAGGCAGGCUAAUACCGCAUACGCUGGUAAGCGUUGGUUUACCAGCAAAGCUUUUGCGCUUGAGGAGGGGCUUGCGUCUGAUUAGCUAGUUGGUAAGGUAAUGGCUUACCAAGGCGAUGAUCAGUAGCUGGUCUGAGAGGACAACCAGCCAGACGGGGACUGAGAUACGGCCCUGACUCCUACGGGAGGCAGCAGCAAGGAAUUUUGCGCAAUGGGCGAAAGCCUGACGCAGCGACGCCGCGUGGGGGAUGACAGCCUUCGGGUUGUAAACCCCUUUUCAUGAGGAAGAAAUAUGACGGUACUCGUGGAAUAAGUCUUGGCUAACUACGU
RNAcentral lists this ribosomal RNA (459 nucleotides) under uncultured bacterium. RNAcentral describes it as "bacterial SSU rRNA". It matches the Rfam family "Bacterial small subunit ribosomal RNA", at positions 29 to 506 of the family's 1533-position model. The record is from RNAcentral.